RNAcentral lists this ribosomal RNA (424 nucleotides) under uncultured bacterium. Its description in RNAcentral is "bacterial SSU rRNA". It matches the Rfam family "Bacterial small subunit ribosomal RNA", at positions 355 to 796 of the family's 1533-position model. The record is from RNAcentral.
UGGGGAAUCUUGCACAAUGGGGGCAACCCUGAUGCAGCGACGCCGCGUGAGCGAUGAAGCCCUUCGGGGUGUAAAGCUCUUUCGGCAGGAACGAUAAUGACGGUACCUGAAGAAGAAGCUGCGGCUAACUACGUGCCAGCAGCCGCGGUAAUACGUAGGCAGCAAGCGUUGUUCGGAGUUACUGGGCGUAAAGAGUGCGUAGGCGGUCUUCUAAGUCUGGUGUGAAAUCUCCCGGCUCAACUGGGAGGGUGCGCCGGAAACUGGAAGGCUUGAGUAUGGGAAAGGUAAGCGGAAUUCCUGGUGUAGCGGUGAAAUGCGUAGAUAUCAGGAGGAACACCGGUGGUGUAGACGGCUUACUAGACCAUCACUGACGCUGAGGUACGAAAGCGUGGGUAGCAAACAGGAUUAGAUACCCCCGUAGUCC